This is a long non-coding RNA of Equus caballus (horse), 1887 nucleotides long. The record is from Ensembl. NCBI's taxonomy places the organism in Eukaryota, Metazoa, Chordata, Mammalia, Perissodactyla, Equidae.
GUCCCGCCAGGGCCGCCGCUCUCCUAGGUGCGCCCUCGGGGAUCCGCACCGGAGCACGCGUCGGGAAGAACUGCGCAGACUCCGGGCGCGCCCCUCCUGGAGGGUUCGGUCCAGGCGCUCCAACGUUCUGGAGGGACUGGCCGCAAGGCGCCCUGCUUCUGGAGAGGCCGGCCCCAGUGGGCCCCCCUUCUGGUGAGGAUGCCAUCAGGAUCCCACAUAACCUCUAGUCUCGUGUCUCCUGAGGCUCCGCUUGGCUGUGACAGUCUCUCAGACUGUCCUUGGUUUCUGUGACCUUGGCGCUUGGGAGAGGUGCCGGCGGCUGUUCUGUAAGAUGUCUCUCUCUCUGGAUUUGUCUGAGGUUUUUGUCGUGGUUAGACUGGGGCACUGGUUUGGGAAGAAGACCGCAGAGAUAAAGUGCCAUUCCCGUCUCAGUGUAUCAAGGGUCCUUGCCACCAACAGGACCCAUCCCUGCUGAAGUUGACCUUGGUCGCCUGCCUGAAGAAGUGUCGUCUCCACUGUCAAGGCUGGACCUUGACCUGCAGAGCAACUGGGCGAGGGGCCGUGGGAAUGAAGACUCUGCUGGAGAAGGCUGGGCCGGGACGGCAGGAGGAACUGUGGAGCGGCUGCAGCAGAGGCCCAUUGUCUCAGAGCUACGUGGGGACUGGUGGCACUUCCCUGAUUAUCACAGCAGGAUUCUGGUUUCCAGAACAGGGGAGCUGGGCCGACACCACCCGUGCAAGCUGCCAGCCUGUGCUUGUCCUCACGGUGGCCGAGGGUCCAAGACAGCAAGCAGUUGAGCAGACGUGUGCAGCACCGCAGGAGCCAAGGCUGGAGCUGGGGCCCUGUCUGUCCUCUGCAGCUGUGAAGCCGGGCUGAUUCUGGAUUCCAGGGUGGAGAGACUCGGCCUCUGGGAGGGGGCUGCAGAGGUGAUUGAGAGGGGCCAGGCAGAGGGAGGGAGCCGGAGUGGGGUCCACUCUCCCGACCUGGGGCAGCUAGGCUUUGGGACCAUGCCCAGCGCUGGUGUCGCAGUCACUGGCUGGGAGGAGAGGCCUGUGUGUGCAUGCACAUAUGUGUAAGCAUGCAUGUGUGUGGGCAGAUGCAAGCCCAUCUCUGAUGUGUGUUGCUUGCGUUCCUGCUGACAAUUGCCGGACGUCCUAUGGAGAGCCAGCGUCUGAGUCCAGAUGGGGUGCAGGGCAGGGGCUCCAACCUGGAGUCCGCAGCGCCCGACAGAGUGUGGUCUAGCUCUGCUGCCCAGAAGAGACCCCAAGGAUGCUCGCACAUGACCUUGUGCUGCAGAACGUUAAUGGGAACAUGUAUUAGUGACUGUUCUCCACGAGAGGAUCCUGUGAGGACCCGUGGACUCAGCAGGCCACAGUGGGGCACUAACCGAUUUGUCUGACUGGCUGAGGUCGGUGUCCGGCUGGCUCCAUCCCCCCACUGGAGGCUCCGGGCUCAGGAAGGCCUGCGGGACAUCUGGGCCCUGCCUUCCUAGGAGCAGCGGCCUGUGUGGGCUGGGAUCCGGCUGAUGCUGACCAGCCGCCCCUCCCCAGGUGGAGGAAUCUCGUGGGCCCUGAAGUGGAGGAGGAGGUCCUGGCCCGUCACUUUCCCUGCCUGCCCCCAAUUCUCUGUGUCGGCUGGAAUCAGGUUCCAUGGAGCUCUCCUCUCCAGGCAGGGAGUAGUAGUGAGCGAGAGAAUCUCCCUUUUGUUAGGACAUAAAGACUGGGAGCGGAUUUCUUUUAGUUCUUUUGUUUAGUUUUGUUAGGGCUGGGAUCCUAGACAUAAAAUGUUAUUCUGCUGGGAGCGGGAUAAUGGUGCUGCCAGCUUCUCCGCACACAUGGAGAAUAGGGAGGAUCUUCUGUUGUGUGGUCGCACUGAGCAGACGCCCCG